UAAAAUGAAAAGAAUUUGUACACCCGGUAAGUCGAAAACCCGCAAGGGCGGCUUAGGCAAAAAAGGGUAUCCCGGUGGAUUGAAAACCCGAAAGGGCGAUCCAGCCAAAAGAGGGAUUAGAGCGAAGACUACAGUCUGAGUUAUCUGUGCUUCGUCGCGCUUCGUCAGCUACCAUCUCGAAAGAAGUGAUCGGUCCGGUCAUUCUUCUCAGAAAGCAAGGAAGUUGGGAGGAAAAUU
RNAcentral lists this long non-coding RNA (237 nucleotides) under Lathyrus oleraceus (garden pea). RNAcentral describes it as "Pisum sativum (pea) long non-coding RNA (PSAT_LNC031688)". The record is from RNAcentral. Lineage: Eukaryota; Viridiplantae; Streptophyta; Magnoliopsida; Fabales; Fabaceae.